CCAAACAGACCCUUACAUCUCAUGAUGAUGCUCUCCUUCAAAUGAAUGCUAUAUCCAACUCAAAUGUGACUGACAAGCUAUUGAAUUUCCUCGAGAAGUAUUUUGAGCCACCAUUCCAUCGCCAUUUUCUUACAACUGCUGAUCCGAUUUUGGGACACGAGAUCAUAUUGAAAUUGAGACCGAGUUGCUGACAUGGUUCUCUGACCAGUAGUGUCAUGCGUGGUUUGCGGGAGAAAAUUUACGAAUUCAUCCAUUUGCUUAUAUGACUCCUUACUAACCCAAACAUUUGAUUAUGUGCAGUAUAAAGAUUUGGACGACACCCAACGCCAUCUGGCGCGCCUUUACAAGGACCAAAUGCGUACUAAAUUUCCAAGCCAUGACUUCGUUGCCACGGUUCAUUCAUGGAGAAAAAUAAAAGAUUAAUUGGAAAACAAAUUUUCUUAUACACUUUCCUCAUUCUGUAUAAUUUUUUAAGAAAAUUUCAGGACUUUUGUGCACAAGCAAAAGACUUGAGUAUAUUUACAAAUCCCUCUUACUCCAUUGAGAAUUACAUCUACUUUUAUUUGAUACAUAAGUCAGAACCAAUAUUAUGCAUAUCAAGCAGGNNN
This 608-nucleotide long non-coding RNA is filed under the name Trifolium pratense (red clover). Its description in RNAcentral is "long non-coding RNA (TPRA_LNC000199)". Lineage: Eukaryota; Viridiplantae; Streptophyta; Magnoliopsida; Fabales; Fabaceae. The record is from RNAcentral.